This 460-nucleotide ribosomal RNA is filed under the name uncultured bacterium. Its description in RNAcentral is "partial 16S ribosomal RNA". It matches the Rfam family "Bacterial small subunit ribosomal RNA", at positions 338 to 795 of the family's 1533-position model. The record is from RNAcentral.
CCUACGGGAGGCAGCAGUGAGGAAUAUUGGUCAAUGGACGCAAGUCUGAACCAGCCAUGCCGCGUGAAGGAAGACGGCUCUAUGAGUUGUAAACUGCUUUUGUACGGGGGUAAAUAUCGAUACGUGUAUCGGGUUGAAAGUACCGUACGAAUAAGGAUCGGCUAACUCCGUGCCAGCCGCCGCGGUAAUACGGAGGGUUCAAGCGUUAUCCGGAUUUAUUGGGUUUAAAGGGUGCGUAGGCGGUGCGGUAAGUUAGGGGUGAAAUCCCGGGGCUCAACUCCGGCACUGCCUCUGAUACUGUCGGGCUAGAGGUUAGUUGCGGUAGGCGGAAUGUAUGGUGUAGCGGUGAAAUGCAUAGAGAUGAUACAGAACACCGAUUGCGAAGGCAGCUUACCGGACUACGACUGACGUUGAUGCACGAAAGCGUGGGGAGCAAACAGGAUUAGAUACCCGGGUAGUC